UACGGAGGGUGCAAGCGUUAUCCGGAUUCACUGGGUUUAAAGGGUGCGUAGGAGGGCAGGUAAGUCAGUGGUGAAAUCCCCGAGCUUAACUUGGGAACUGCCGUUGAUACUAUCUGUCUUGAAUACCGUGGAGGUGAGCGGAAUAUGUCAUGUAGCGGUGAAAUGCUUAGAUAUGACAUAGAACACCAAUUGCGAAGGCAGCUCGCUACACGAAUAUUGACUCUGAGGCACGAAAGCGUGGGGAU
This 245-nucleotide ribosomal RNA is filed under the name uncultured bacterium. Its description in RNAcentral is "partial 16S ribosomal RNA". It matches the Rfam family "Bacterial small subunit ribosomal RNA", at positions 524 to 768 of the family's 1533-position model. The record is from RNAcentral. RNAcentral also lists the same sequence under 1 other name.